This 72-nucleotide transfer RNA is filed under the name Phrynosoma platyrhinos (Desert horned lizard). RNAcentral's name for it is "tRNA-OTHER". Lineage: Eukaryota; Metazoa; Chordata; Lepidosauria; Squamata; Phrynosomatidae. The record is from RNAcentral.
GCCAGUGUGACGUAGUGGUUUGAGUGUUGGACUACAACUCUGGAAACCAGGGUUUAAUUCCCAGCUCAGCCA